UAAAACUUUGAAAAAAAAGCAGAGAAUGGAUGCCUUGACUCAAAACGCCGAUGAAGGACGCGGCCAGCUGCGAUAAGCUUCGGGGAGCUGCUAAGCAAGCUUUGAUCCGGAGAUGUCCGAAUGGGGAAACCUCGUAGGAGUAAUGUCCUACGGUCUCGCAAGAGACGGAAACUAGGGGAACUGAAACAUCUCAGUACCCUGGAUAAAAGAAAUCAAUAGAGAUUCCCGUAGUAGUGGCGAACGAACCGGGAAUAGCCUAAACCUUGUCCUUCGGGAUAAGGGGUUGUAGGGCCUCAAUACGAAAAUUAUUUCUAUUAAGCAAACGAUCCUGGAAAGGACGGCCAUAGAGGGUGAUAGCCCCGUCGCUGAAAAUAGAUUGAUUUUCCAGAGUGUCCCUGAGUAGGGUCGGACACGAGAAAUCCGGCCUGAAGCUGGGAAGACCACUUUCCAAGGCUAAAUACGUUUUGAGAUCGAUAGCGAACUAGUACCAUGAGGGAAAGGUGAAAAGUACCCCAGGAAGGGGAGUGAAAUAGUACCUGAAAUUCUUUGCUUGAAAUGAGUCGGAGCCCUUCGGGGUGACGGCGUACCUUUUGUAGAAUGGACCAACGAGUUAGCUGUAUGAUGCAAGCCUAAGGGAGUUUAACCCGGAGGCGUAGCGAAAGCGAGUCUUAACCGGCGCCAAGUAUCAUGCACUAGACCCGAAACGGGGUGAGCUACCCAUGGGCAGGUUGAAAAUAGGGUAAAACCUAUUGGAGGACCGAACCAACUUGUAUUGCAAGACAAGUGGAUGACCUGUGGGUAGGAGAGAAAUUCUAAUCGAACUCCGAGAUAGCUGGUUCUCUUCGAAAUAGCUUUCGGGCUAGCCUCAUACUUAUAAUUUUGGGGGGUAGAGCACUAUUUAGGCUAGGGGGCAAAAUAUGUCUACCAAACCUAGAUAAACUUCGAAUACCCAAAACAGUGUAUGGGAGUCAGACGGUGACAGCUAAGUGCCAUCGUCGAGAGGGUAACAGCCCAGAUCGUCAACUAAGGUCCCUAAUAGAAGCUCAGUGGUAAAGGAUGUGAGGAUGCGUAUACAACCAGGAGGUUGGCUUAGAAGCAGCCAUUCCUUCAAAGAGUGCGUAACAGCUCACUGGUCUAUGCGUCCUUGCGCCGAAAAUACAACGGGGCUCAAGCUUCUAACCGAAGUUGCGGGUGCACUUUAUGUGCACGGUAGAAGAGCGUUCCCAUCAGCAGUGAAGUCGGAUUGAGAAGUCCGGUGGAGCGGUGGGAAGUGCAAAUGUUGGUAUAAGUAACGUCAUUAAUGUGAAAAACGUUAACACCGAAAGUCCAAGGUUUCCCAAGCCACGUUAAUCGACUUGGGGUUAGUCGGUCCUAAGGUCCAGGCGAAAGCCAUAAGCCGAUGGACAACAGGUUAAUAUUCCUGUACAUCUUGAAAAUCGUUCCAGCAAAGCCGGAGUGCGAAUAAAUUCCAAUCGAUGUCCUUCGGGACGGAGAGAGGACUUUACUCAAAUGAAGGUGGCGCUAGAUUCGGGGGGACGCCGCGGGAUAAUUUGAGCGCAUCAAUGAAUUUGCGUGCAAGUGUUUAGCCCAUGCUCAACUAGGUAAAUCCGUUUGAGCUCGUGAUACACGAUGCAAAAAGCCGUAAGGCUUGAUUCAAGUGAGUUCUGCGGACGAGAAAAUCCUCGUUUCGAGAGUUUCAAGAUACCGUACCGCAAACCAACGCUGGUGGACAGGUCGAGUAGACCAAGGUGAUCGGGAUAACUGAGCUUAAGGAACUCGGCAAAACAGCAGGCGUAACUUCGGGAUAAGCCUUGCCUUUGAUCGUGAGAUUAUAUCAACUCGAUCUAGGCCGCAGCAAAUGAACACCUGCAACUGUUUAUCAAAAACACAGGUCCGUGCAAAGUCGUAAGACGAUGUAUACGGGCUGACUCCUGCCCAGUGCCAGAAGGUCACGUGGAGAGGUUCACGCCUUGAAACUAAGCCCUGGUGAACGGCGGCCGUAACUAUAACGGUCCUAAGGUAGCGAAAUUCCUUGUCGGGUAAGUUCCGACCCGCACGAAUGGAGUAAUGAUGGGUGUACUGUCUCAAGCUCAGACCCGGUGAAAUUACAAUAUCGGUAAAAAUGCCGAUUAGACGUGGCAGGACGAAAAGACCCCGUGCAGCUUUACUAUAGUUUAACAUUGUUUCUGGGUACUACUUGUGCAGCAUAAGUGGGAGACUGUGAAGCCUCGACGCUAGUCGGGGUGGAGUCAACGGUGAGAUACCACUCUUGUCUUGCUUAGAAACUAACUCCUCAUAAAAGGGGGACAGUGUUUGAUGGGUAGUUUAACUGGGGCGGUUGCCUCCUAAAGAGUAACGGAGGCGCGCAAUUGGUCACCUAACGCCGUAUGGAAAUCGGCGGUGUCGUGUAUUCGCACAAGGUGGCUUGACUGCAAGGCUUACAAGCCGAGCAGGGACGAAAGUCGGUGAAAAUGAUCCGGUACCACCAUGUGGGUGGGGUAUCGCUCAACGGAUAAAAGUUACGCCGGGGAUAACAGGCUAGUCUGGUCCAAGAGUCCAUAUCGACGACCAGGUUCGGCACCUCGAUGUCGGCUCGUCGCAUCCUGGGGGUGGAGAAGCUCCCAAGGGUUUGGCUGUUCGCCAAUUAAAGCGGUACGCGAGCUGGGUUCAAAACGUCGUGAGACAGUUUGGCCUCUAUCCGCCAUGUCUGAAGGAAAAUUGAAGGAAGUUGUCCUUAGUACGAGAGGACCGGGAUGAACGAACCUCUAGUGUACCUGUUGUCGCGUCAGCGGCAUGGCAGGGUAGCUAAGUUCGGCUUGGAUAAACGCUGAAAGCAUCUAAGCGUGAAGCCAGUCCUAAGAAAAUUUUCCCCAUUAGCCUCCUCGUAGACUACGAGGUUGAUAGGCCGCAGGUGUACAAGCAGAGAUGCUUUCAGCCGAGCGGUACUAACAGGCGAUUGUUGUUUUAAU
Non-coding RNA from Candidatus Peregrinibacteria bacterium, 2969 nucleotides. The record is from Rfam. Lineage: Bacteria; Candidatus Peregrinibacteriota.